This is a long non-coding RNA of Pipra filicauda (Wire-tailed manakin), 2713 nucleotides long. RefSeq lists it as uncharacterized. The record is from RefSeq and is a predicted model, not a curated record. Lineage: Eukaryota; Metazoa; Chordata; Aves; Passeriformes; Pipridae. The transcript has 3 exons.
CCAAAGGAGACUAGAACACUCCUUCAGCCUCCUUGAAAACAUCUUGUGACCAGUCAGAAGGAUGAAGCUCCUGGCACUUUGUGGCUUUUUGUUUGUAUGUCUCCUGUGCCUCAGUGCCUUUGCUGCAGAAGGUCGGGAGGUUAGAAAAGUCUGCUGCUCAGUAGUACCCAAACACAACAAAAAAGCACAUAAAGGUGUAAGUUCCAAAAUGACUCCGAAGAAAAUAAAGAAAUACUGCAGGCCUUGUCCUCAGUUUCUGGUGGCUCCUGGACCCCUUCCACAGCUAAAAUGAGAAGACUGAGAGGAGAGGGAAAGGCAUCUGCCCAUCAACACAUCUUACAGUGCUUCACUUGAUUGAGGGCCCUCCUUUCACAGACAGCACAUGCGUGUAUAUUGCUUUUUGUUUGGGAAAGGCUUCAGUACUGUUUAUUCCUUCACUCAGGCACCUUUGUUUUAUUAAUACUAACCUGGCAGUUAAAGAGUCAGCAAAGUUGUCUGGCUGCCACCAGACUUUGUAUCAGUUGCAUAUUCCUCCACACCAAACAGGGAUUUAGCUCCUCAAGUACCAGGAGGAGAAGAGCUGGUUGAAGAGGUGGCUAAAUCAUGUUGGUUUGCAUUUCUGGGUUACCUAAAAGGUGGUAAAAGGCUGAUGCUAUUGUUUCUAUUUAUCAGUAUACAUGCAUAUUUAACCUUUUCUAUGAAUUAUUUAUUUUGUAUUAACCAAGGGGUUUGCUUGUAUGUAAGCAUAUGAUGGUUUUUCGUCCAGCCUUUGCACAUGGUGUUUGCAAUCCACUUAGAAGCAGAUUUCUACAAAUGAGAAAGAUCUCAUCAUUUAGAAAGGGCUGAGAAAUUGAAUAAGCAGGUUGCUAAAAUAAUGGUAACAGACCAGAUUCAAGUAAGCUGUUCAGUACGUCUUCUGAGGCUAAAUCUGACUUGAAAAUCAAAGUGGCUUGUUCUUUAUCUUCCUAUGGAGUGUCAUCAGGUGGUUAUUAAACAGCAUCCUGAAAAGGUGUUAAAGCUAAACAGAUUUCAUCUCUUCUUCUGAAGCCAGAAGGCAGCUGUUCUUUUAAGACACCUGAGUUGUGUGAUCAACUCAAUAAACAAAACUUACUGGAGCAUGAAAUAAGUGCUAAGAAUAAUACCAAAGGGCUGAAUAAUAGAGAAACUGAAGCAUCCUCUGACACUUCUCUCAUGUAUCUUCUGUCCUUUCCUAACUGUUCUCUGCAUAUGCUGCUAUUUCUCUGCCCGGGGGAGAGUCCUUAAAACAGAAUUACUUGGUUGUUCAUAAAUCUGGUUUUCCUUCUAGUGAAUAUGAGGAGGAGUAGAAAGCUUUUCUGCUGCUGGGCAAAUUGCAAAUAGUAAUUUUUCCCUCAGUACUUGUAGUACUACUCUUUCUCUUAACAUAAUUGCCAGUGUGAUAGAAAUGGCCUCAGUGCCCUUCACAAUUUGGGGGAGUUGAAUGGGAACAGUCAGAGCUGUGUCGUAACGCACACAGACAAAUGCAAUUCCCAUGGGUCAAGUUUAUGGGCCCUUACUCAUGGUCCUGCUCUCAUUGGCAAUGUUUCUAUUGUACUGAGCAAUUGAGCCUAUUUCUGGGUCUUCUGUGUGCUUGUUAUUACUUUAUUUUUGUAUUGGUUUUGAGAUUAGAUAGAUCUGACAUUCAGCUUCCUAUUUUUGAAGAGCUGACCAUGCAUAGCAUUUUUAUAUCAAGGAUAAAGGAGCUGCCAGUCCUCCUCACAAGAUCUCUGAAUCAGGAUGUUGGUGAAGGAACUGUUUCAUUUUCUAUUGCUGGUCAUGAGGCCAACAUAUUUUAUUUCUAUUGUCUUCUAUAGCUUGCAGAAGGAAUCUGUAGAAUAUAAAUGACAAGUAAAUGUAAAAGCUUUUUUGGUAUUAAAUGUGGUUGCAGUAGGCUUUUACUCUGUAAAAUAUGGCUAUGUGUUUACAGCUCUGUAUAAAGCAUUGUUAACAGGUUUGAAGAUUUUGUUCUCCAAUGUGAACUUAAGCCCUUUUAUAUCUGAAAAUGCUGUAUGAUUUUCCUCUCUGCCCUACACCCUCCAGCCAGUGUGUUUCACACUCUCCAAUCCUCCCUCAGGCAAAAUGUUCCCUCUGAUAACAGAAACGUAAGCUACAAAGACCAUUAACACAAUUACAGAAAUACUCUGGGUCUCUGGAGAGAUCCCAGUACAUAAUUUAAUGCACUUAAGUAUUUCUCUAAGUUACCAGAUUGGCCUCAACCCCAGGUUGAGGGCUAUUCAAGUUAAAGAUGCCACUUGUGUGAGGUCCUAGUCUUGGCUGAAGAAACUAAAGCAGGAAUCUCCAAAUUAUUUCAGCGUGGAUUGUGACUGCUGCCCAAAUGCUUUUUCACUUCAUCCAGAGGUAUCAGGAUCUUGUGUGAAGUAAUUCCUCAGCAGAGUUUGACUCUUAUGUACCAGGCCAUUUCCCUAUGUGGUAGAACAGAGGUACAUCUGAUCAUGGUUUCACUUAUAGGUACCUAUUCUUCCUUUUGUUUUCCUUUCAGUGCUAUGCGUAUUUGUUUGGCAUUACCAGAGGAAAAACAUAUUUGCUCAGUGGUUUUUCAAAGUACACAAGCUGUAUGCUUAUAUAAAGUAGUAAAUUUAGCUUAUCCGAGCUGACAAAUGCAUUUUUUGUAUCUUGUGUUUUUGCAUGCAUUUGGCUGUCAGGCAAGAAAAUUGCACAGCCCUUAAGUUCCAAU